UACACGUGGAUAACUUACCCUUAGGACUAGGAUAACUCUGGGAAACUGGAGAUAACACUGGAUAUUAGGUGAUGCCUGCAAUGGUUUGCCUUUGAAAUGUUUUUUCGCCUAAGGAUAGAUCUGCGGCUGAUUAGGUCGUUGGUGGGGUAAUGGCCCACCAAGCCGAUGAUCGGUACGGGUUGUGAGAGCAAGAGCCCGGAGAUGGAACCUGAGACAAGGUUCCAGACCCUACGGGGUGCAGCAGGCGCGAAACCUUCGCAAUGUACGCAAGUGCGACGAGGGGAUCCCAAGUGUCAUUCUUAACGGGAUGGCUUUUCAUUAGUGUAAAAAGCUUUUAGAAUAAGAGCUGGGCAAGACCGGUGCCAGCCGCCGCGGUAACACCGGCAGCUCGAGUGGUAGCUGUUUUUAUUGGGCCUAAAGCGUUCGUAGCCGGUUUGAUAAGUCUUUGGUGAAAGCUUGUAGCUUAACUAUAGGAAUUGCUGGAGAUACUAUCAGACUUGAAGUCGGGAGAGGUUAGAGGUACUACCGGGGUAGGGGUGAAAUCCUAUAAUCCUGGGAGGACCACCUGUGGCGAAGGCGUCUAACUGGAACGAUCUUGACGGUGAGUAACGAAAGCCAGGGGCGCGAACCGGAUUAGAUACCCGGGUAGUCCUGGCUGUAAACGAUGUGGACUUGGUGUUGGAAUGGCCUCGAGUUGUUCCGGUGCCGAAGGGAAGCUGUUAAGUCCACCGCCUGGGAAGUACGGUCGCAAGAUUGAAACUUAA
Molecule: ribosomal RNA, 764 nt
Filed under: uncultured archaeon
Lineage: Archaea
Description: bacterial SSU rRNA
Rfam family: Archaeal small subunit ribosomal RNA
Source: RNAcentral